UACGUAGGGGGCAAGCGUUGUCCGGAAUCAUUGGGCGUAAAGAGCGUGUAGGCGGCUCGGUAAGUCCGCUCUGAAAGCCCGGGGCUCAACCCCGGGAGGCGGGCGGAUACUGUCGGGCUAGAGUCCGGAAGAGGCGAGUGGAAUUCCUGGUGUAGCGGUGAAAUGCGCAGAUAUCGGAAGGAACACCUGUGGCGAAAGCGGCUCACUGGACCAUUACUGACGCUGAUGCACGAAAGCUAGGGGAGCAAACAGG
RNAcentral lists this ribosomal RNA (253 nucleotides) under uncultured bacterium. RNAcentral describes it as "partial 16S ribosomal RNA". It matches the Rfam family "Bacterial small subunit ribosomal RNA", at positions 524 to 776 of the family's 1533-position model. The record is from RNAcentral.